GAAAACCGUGUGCAAUGAAAAGUGCAAGCACGGCUUGGAGAGGGGCAUGGCUGAACCUAAAAAGAUAGCAAUUACAUACAACCAAGAAUGGUUUUGUACUUUCAC
Molecule: non-coding RNA, 105 nt
Organism: Capsicum annuum
Lineage: Eukaryota; Viridiplantae; Streptophyta; Magnoliopsida; Solanales; Solanaceae
Source: Rfam